RNAcentral lists this ribosomal RNA (451 nucleotides) under uncultured bacterium. RNAcentral describes it as "partial 16S ribosomal RNA". It matches the Rfam family "Bacterial small subunit ribosomal RNA", at positions 338 to 794 of the family's 1533-position model. The record is from RNAcentral.
CCUACGGGGGGCAGCAGUGAGGAAUUUUGCGCAAUGGGCGAAAGCCUGACGCAGCGACGCCGCGUGGAGGAUGAAGGCCUUCGGGUUGUAAACUCCUGUUAGAGGGGAAGAAGCCCCGCAAGGGGUUGACGGUACCCUCAGAGGAAGCCCCGGCUAACUACGUGCCAGCAGCCGCGGUAAUACGUAGGGGGCAAGCGUUACUCGGAAUUACUGGGCGUAAAGGGUGUGUAGGCGGCCGAGCAAGUCGAAGAGAAAAGCCCAGGGCACAACCCUGGAAUGGUCAUCGAGACUGCUGGGCUUGAGGGUAGUGGAGGAGAGCGGAAUUCCCGGUGGAGGGGUGAAAUGCGUAGAUAUCGGGAGGAACACCAGAGGCGAAGGCGGCUCUCUAUGCUACUCCUGACGCUGAGGCACGAAAGCUAGGGGAGCAAACGGGAUUAGAUCCCCGGGUAGU